GUGCUGAAUUAUUCGCCAAUGCGCGAAAGCGUGACGGUGCGACGCCGCGUGCGGGACGAAGGCCUUCGGGUUGUAAACCGCUGUCAGGGUAUAGAAAACCUUUCGGGUUAAUAGUCCGAAAGCUGAUCAUACCCAAAGGAAGCACAGGCUAACCUCGUGCCAGCAGCCGCGGUAAUACGAGGUGUGCGAGCGUUGUUCGGAAUCACUGGGCAUAAAGGGUGCGUAGGCGGUGCGCCAAGUCAGGUGUGAAAUCCCUCGGCUUAACCGGGGAAUUGCAUUUGAUACUAGCGUGCUAGAGGGUAAAAGGGGCAAGCGGAAUUCUAGGUGUAGCGGUGGAAUGCGUAGAUAUCUGGGAGAACGCCGAGGGCGAAGGCAGCUUGCUGGGUUACUUCUGACGCUGAGGCACGAAAGCUAGGGGAGCAAACAGGAUUAGAUACCCUAGUAGUCC
RNAcentral lists this ribosomal RNA (448 nucleotides) under uncultured bacterium. RNAcentral describes it as "partial 16S ribosomal RNA". It matches the Rfam family "Bacterial small subunit ribosomal RNA", at positions 354 to 796 of the family's 1533-position model. The record is from RNAcentral.